This 509-nucleotide ribosomal RNA is filed under the name uncultured bacterium. RNAcentral describes it as "bacterial SSU rRNA". It matches the Rfam family "Bacterial small subunit ribosomal RNA", at positions 29 to 515 of the family's 1533-position model. The record is from RNAcentral.
AACGAACGCUGGCGGCGUGGAUUAGGCAUGCAAGUCGUACGAUCUCUUUCUUCGGAGGGAGAUAGUGGCAAACGGGUGAGUAACGCGUGGGUAAUUUACCUUUAGGUUCGGAACAACAUGUCGAAAGACGUGCUAAUACCGGAUAAGACCACGAUUUCACAGAGAUAGUGGUUAAAGAUGGGGAUCCUGAAAAUGGACCUAUCGCCUUUAGAUGAACCCGCGUCCUAUCAGCUUGUUGGUGAGGUUAAGGCUCACCAAGGCAAUGACGGGUAGCUGGUCUGAGAGGAUGGUCAGCCACACUGGGACUGAGACACUGCCCAGACUCCUACGGGAGGCUGCAGUCGAGAAUCUUUUGCAAUGCCCGAAAGGGUGACAAUGCGACGCCGCGUGAACGAUGAAGGCCUUCGGGUUGUAAAGUUCUGUCAGCAGGGAUGAAUGUAAGUAGGUCAAUACCCUACUUAUUUGACGGUACCUGCAGAGGAAGCAACGGCUAACUCCGUGCCAGCAGA